CCCCGGGCGCCGCACGCUCGCGGGACGGAAGCUGCUCACUGCGCGUGUGGCGCGGUCGCCCGCCUCCGUGUGCGUCUGCGUGUGGUGUGGUCGCGGGCUGAGACGGGCCCGGGUUCACGUGGGAACCAAUGACAGGAUGUGCUUUCUGCAGCAAAGAUAAAAGAAACCUCACUAGUAAAGACGCACGUAGGAAUUAGGGGCGGGGCCUCACGGACCUCACACCAAGCGCUCGCUGCGGCGUCAGACGGUCAGCGCGCGCUCGCCGGUUUGCAGUUGAUGAGCCACCGCAGCAAUUUGAAUGCCUCCACUGCUUCACAGUGUGUGACGUGAAGAAAAACCCAUUACCCGUCAAAUGUGGGACCGGAACCAAAAUGCAGAACUAACAAAAACAACGAAAUUACCCUUAAUUGCCAGUGUUGCUGCCUAAAUAAUGAAAUAAAGAACAGCGUGGCGGCUGAGGCAAUAAUCCCGUGGAUUCGCGUUGUCACGAUGACGUGUUGACAAUGAAACUGAACUGUGCCAGAGGAGAGGACUGUUAGCGCCGCUGAAGCAUCCACGAGUCCUCUGUGCAGAACGCUGAGAUUGACUCAGACUCAGAGUCAUAAAACAGCAGCUCUGCAGCCGUGAGUCCGAGUCUCCGUCCACAAAUCAAAGCCUUCACUGCUCAGAACCAGAACCCGAGCUGCCCCUGGUGCUUCUACAUUCACCACGUGCUGGUACCAGUGGAACCAGUUCCUGCUCAGUUUCCCACAGUUCUGAUGCAUGUAAAUCAGCUGAUCACCUGCAGCUCAUUAAGAGAAAACAGUCAAAGAACACCAGCCAUUAAAUUACAAUAGAUCUAAUUAAUGCUGUUUAAUU
RNAcentral lists this long non-coding RNA (858 nucleotides) under Betta splendens (Siamese fighting fish). RNAcentral describes it as "lncRNA (ENSBSLG00000012054.1)". The record is from RNAcentral. Lineage: Eukaryota; Metazoa; Chordata; Actinopteri; Anabantiformes; Osphronemidae.